CACGCAGGUCGUGACUGGCGCAUACAGAUGGACAACCAUCGGGGAGCGACCUCACCGAGCACGUGUGCCGCGCGCCUGGGCCUUCUCC
Molecule: non-coding RNA, 88 nt
Filed under: Pseudonocardia sp.
Lineage: Bacteria; Bacillati; Actinomycetota; Actinomycetes; Pseudonocardiales; Pseudonocardiaceae
Also listed under: 1 other name
Description: ZTP sequence
Rfam family: ZMP/ZTP riboswitch aptamer (pfl RNA motif)
About the family: Previously known as pfl RNA.
Source: RNAcentral